GAUGAACGCUGGCGGCGUGCCUAAUACAUGCAAGUCGAGCGAACGGACGAGAAGCUUGCUUCUCUGAUGUUAGCGGCGGACGGGUGAGUAACACGUGGAUAACCUACCUAUAAGACUGGGAUAACUUCGGGAAACCGGAGCUAAUACCGGAUAAUAUUUUGAACCGCAUGGUUCAAAAGUGAGAGACGGUCUUGCUGUCACUUAUAGAUGGAUCCGCGCUGCAUUAGCUAGUUGGUAAGGUAACGGCUUACCAAGGCAACGAUGCAUAGCCGACCUGAGAGGGUGAUAGGCCACACUGGAACUGAGACACGGUCCAGACUCCUACGGGAGGCAGCAGUAGGGAAUCUUCCGCAAUGGGCGAAAGCCUGACGGAGCAACGCCGCGUGAGUGAUGAAGGUCUUCGGAUCGUAAAACUCUGUUAUUAGGGAAGAACAUAUGUGUAAGUAACUGUGCACAUCUUGACGGUACCUAAUCAGAAAGCCACGGCUAACUACGUG
This 497-nucleotide ribosomal RNA is filed under the name uncultured bacterium. Its description in RNAcentral is "partial 16S ribosomal RNA". It matches the Rfam family "Bacterial small subunit ribosomal RNA", at positions 28 to 507 of the family's 1533-position model. The record is from RNAcentral.